Molecule: non-coding RNA, 94 nt
Organism: Aedes albopictus (Asian tiger mosquito)
Lineage: Eukaryota; Metazoa; Arthropoda; Insecta; Diptera; Culicidae
Source: Rfam
UGCCCAGCAACUCCUAUCCCUACCUCCACGCGGUACCGGCCGGAAACUAUGAGCAACCCCGGUGGGAACUUUGGUCGUAGGCUGACAGGGAAGG